GCGGGCGUGGCGGAAUCGGUAGACGCAAGGGACUUAAAAUCCCUCACCUCUCGGUAUGCGGGUUCGAGUCCCGCCGCCCGCACCA
This 85-nucleotide transfer RNA is filed under the name Azospirillum picis. RNAcentral's name for it is "tRNA-Leu". It matches the Rfam family "tRNA". From Rfam's summary of the family: Transfer RNA (tRNA) molecules are approximately 80 nucleotides in length. Lineage: Bacteria; Pseudomonadati; Pseudomonadota; Alphaproteobacteria; Rhodospirillales; Azospirillaceae. The record is from RNAcentral.